GUACUGGCCUUACUGAUUCCUCCUUCUUGAAGAACUGUGAUGUCAUUUAUUUGGUGUUGCAGGGAAACAGGACUGUUACUUUGAAAAAAUUAGAGUGUUUAAAGCAGGCUAACGCUUGAAUACAUUAGCAUGGAAUAAUGAAAUAGGACGUUUGAUCCUAUUUUGUUGGUUUCUAGGAUUGACGUAAUGAUUAAUAGGGAUAGUUGGGGGCACUAGUAUUCAAUUGUCAGAGGUGAAAUUCUUGGAUUUAUUGAAGACUAACUACUGCGAAAGCAUUUGCCAAGGAUGUUUUCAUUAAUCAAGAACGAAAGUUAGGGGAUCGAAGACGAUCAGAUACCGUCGUAGUCUUAACCAUAAACUAUGCCGACUAGGGAUCGGAUGAUGUUAAUUUUUUA
Molecule: ribosomal RNA, 395 nt
Filed under: uncultured Glomeromycotina
Lineage: Eukaryota; Fungi; Glomeromycota
Description: SSU rRNA
Rfam family: Eukaryotic small subunit ribosomal RNA
Source: RNAcentral